GCCUUGGUAGCUCAAUUGGCUAGAGCGUGGGACUUUUACCAAUACGGAACAUCAGACCGAAUUAUUAGGAAUCCCAAGGUUGCGGGUUCGACCCCCGCCUGAGGCG
This is a non-coding RNA of Daldinia vernicosa, 106 nucleotides long. Lineage: Eukaryota; Fungi; Ascomycota; Sordariomycetes; Xylariales; Hypoxylaceae. The record is from the annotation of a RefSeq genome assembly.